This 444-nucleotide ribosomal RNA is filed under the name uncultured bacterium. RNAcentral describes it as "bacterial SSU rRNA". It matches the Rfam family "Bacterial small subunit ribosomal RNA", at positions 331 to 792 of the family's 1533-position model. The record is from RNAcentral.
CCAGACUCCUACGGGAGGCAGCAGUGGGGAAUAUUGCACAAUGGGGGAAACCCUGAUGCAGCGACGCCGCGUGAGUGAAGAAGUAUUUCGGUAUGUAAAGCUCUAUCAGCAGGGAAGAUAAUGACGGUACCUGACUAAGAAGCCCCGGCUAACUACGUGCCAGCAGCCGCGGUAAUACGUAGGGGGCAAGCGUUAUCCGGAUUUACUGGGUGUAAAGGGUGCGCAGGUGGCAGGGCAAGUCAGAUGUGAAAGCCCGGGGCUCAACCCCGGUAUUGCAUUUGAAACUGUCCGGCUAGAGUGCAGGAGAGGUAAGCGGAAUUCCUAGUGUAGCGGUGAAAUGCGUAGAUAUUAGGAGGAACACCAGUGGCGAAGGCGGCUUACUGGACUGUAACUGACACUGAGGCACGAAAGCGUGGGGAGCAAACAGGAUUAGAUACCCCAGUA